Schistosoma margrebowiei is the source of this 45-nucleotide non-coding RNA. NCBI's taxonomy places the organism in Eukaryota, Metazoa, Platyhelminthes, Trematoda, Strigeidida, Schistosomatidae. The record is from Rfam.
AUCCGGCUGACGAUUCUCAGAUAGGACGAAACCUGCGUCCUGCAU